RNAcentral lists this ribosomal RNA (253 nucleotides) under uncultured bacterium. Its description in RNAcentral is "partial 16S ribosomal RNA". It matches the Rfam family "Bacterial small subunit ribosomal RNA", at positions 524 to 776 of the family's 1533-position model. The record is from RNAcentral.
UACGUAGGGUGCAAGCGUUGUCCGGAAUUAUUGGGCGUAAAGAGCUCGUAGGCGGUUUGUCGCGUCUGCUGUGAAAACGCGAGGCUCAACCUCGCGCCUGCAGUGGGUACGGGCAGACUGGAGUGCGGUAGGGGAGAUUGGAAUUCCUGGUGUAGCGGUGGAAUGCGCAAAUAUCGGGAGGAACACCGGUGGCGAAGGCGGUUCUCUGGGCCUGUACUGACGCUGAGGAGCGAAAGCGUGGGGAGCGAACAGG